This 385-nucleotide ribosomal RNA is filed under the name uncultured bacterium. RNAcentral's name for it is "bacterial SSU rRNA". It matches the Rfam family "Bacterial small subunit ribosomal RNA", at positions 28 to 410 of the family's 1533-position model. The record is from RNAcentral.
GAUGAACGCUAGCGGCAGGCUUAACACAUGCAAGUCGAGCGGUAGAGAGGUGCUUGCAUCUCUUGAGAGCGGCGGACGGGUGAGUAAUGCCUAGGAAUCUGCCUAGUGGUGGGGGAUAACGUUCGGAAACGGACGCUAAUACCGCAUACGUCCUACGGGAGAAAGCGGGGGAGUCUUCGGACCUCGCGCCAUUAGAUGAGCCUAGGUCGGAUUAGCUAGUUGGUGAGGUAAUGGCUCACCAAGGCGACGAUCCGUAACUGGUCUGAGAGGAUGAUCAGUCACACUGGAACUGAGACACGGUCCAGACUCCUACGGGAGGCAGCAGUGGGGAAUAUUGGGACAAUGGGCGGAAAGACCCUGAUCCAGCCAUGCCGCGUGUGUGAAG